GACGAACCGUGCGAACGUUGUUCGGAAUCACUGGGCUUAAAGGGCGCGUAGGCGGUCCUGAUCGUCGGAUGUGAAAGGCCUGGGCUCAACCUGGGAAUGGCAUCCGAUACGGCGGGACUGGAGUGUGGGAGAGGUUGGUGGAAUUCCCAGUGUAGAGGUGAAAUUCGUAGAUAUUGGGAAGAACACCGGUGGCGAAGGCGGCCAACUGGACCACAACUGACGCUGAGGCGCGAAAGCGUGGGGAGCAAACAGG
RNAcentral lists this ribosomal RNA (253 nucleotides) under uncultured bacterium. RNAcentral's name for it is "partial 16S ribosomal RNA". It matches the Rfam family "Bacterial small subunit ribosomal RNA", at positions 524 to 776 of the family's 1533-position model. The record is from RNAcentral.